CAAAUACUCCCUCUGUCCGGAAAUACUUGUCAUCAAAAUGGAUAAAAGGAAAUGUAUCUAGACGUAUUUUAGUUUUAGAUACAUCUAUUUUUAUCCAUUUUGAUGACAAGUAUUUUCGGACGGAGGGAGUAGAAA
This is a non-coding RNA of Triticum aestivum (bread wheat), 135 nucleotides long. The record is from Rfam. Lineage: Eukaryota; Viridiplantae; Streptophyta; Magnoliopsida; Poales; Poaceae.